GCCUUUUUCCUUUUCUGGAAAAGCCCAGCCGUGCGCAAUUCCCUUUUCCUUUUCCAUCCCCUCCUCCUCCGCUGCAGCUGCCCUGCUGCUUCCCCUCCCCCUCCUCGCCGAGGCGCCUCACGAGCGCUGUGCCCGCACGAGCGCCGCGAGGGAGGUGGCUAGUACGACGAGGCGUCGCGCCAGCACUAGCACCGCGAGGUCAAAGGGCAGCAACAGGCAAUACGGCGAGGCGCAGCAACCGCACGGGCUCCGCGAGUUCCAGGGCCGGAAGCGGCCAAUACGGCGAGGCGGUGCCUGUCUGGCGGCCGUACGGCCUCCGCCGCGUGCGCGACCUUGCUCCUGCGCCUCCUACCCGGGCUGGACCUCCCCCCGUGCGUCGUCCCCACCCGCAUCACCAAGCUUCCCAACGGCGUCCGCGACUCCGCGUCGCCUCCGAGGAUGUCCAGGAGGAGGAAUUGAUUCUCAGACCAUAAAAACAACAGAACAACAGGGAUGAUAUUCAGGUUUACAUAUCUCCAUAGGGAAUCGGAACCGGCUGUGGAUGUGGGAAAAAGAAAAUCCCUAAAUGCAUCUCUGAAACAAUGGCAUUUUUUCAGUGAAUGAACUAAGACUAGCAGUUCAUUUUUAUUCUGUUGGGGGAAUCUAUUUUGGACGAAAUUCUGAACACUUUUUCAAUGUGAUAGCAGCUGCCACUAUCUCAAGAAUGAGGAGAAAUUGAUUCUCAGAUCACAAAGAACCACAGAGCAGCAAGGGUGAUAUUCAGGUUGACAUAUCUCCAUAGACAAUCUAACCUGUACAGGGAUGAGUAAGAUAUGAAAAACUUCAAUUGAAAGCACCGCAAAGCCCAAGAAUAGUACAAUGGGCUCGACAUUGGUUGAACAUAGGGUUCUUGCAUGCAAGUGUAUGGCCGGGUAAAUAAGUACGUGAUUAAUAUGUUGGGAAAAGCAGUAAUGGUCGAGCAAAAUGAAUAGGAUAGACACAAUCUUCUCCCACAAAGUUACUGGUCAAGAUACUAUAUCGAAUGCGACAUUGCUAAAUUAUUCCAAAAGGCAUUUGAAACUCCAAUGGCGUUAUCUGUUCACCUGAGGGAGAGAAUGAUAGGAUUCCAGCUUGAUCGAAUUCACACGGUGUUUUUACCUUUAAGCUCAUACGGUUUCUGGUACACAGUUGUUGCUAACUUUAGGAAAAAAAUGUUCGAAGUCCUCUGCCCAAACAACAGAACCGACUUGAUUGCUGACGAAGCUCAGCUUGUAAUCAAGAAUUUCAAAGCUUCUUUCAGGCUGGCAUACAACAGAUCACAAGUAAAUGUGACUGACAUGGGCGUGUCUUUCUGGAGUGUGUGCUCUUCAAAAUAAAGAGAGCAUGCAAAGAGCCUGCGCGAGAGUCUAACUUACUACAUGGUCGCUCACCCUUGCAAUGAAAACCUGAUGCCAGAAACCAAACAAAUCUUAAGAAAAUAUGGUGUUCCAUUCGACUACUCGGUACGUGUGACUAAACGAAAAUUUUAUUUCAUUUCCUCUGUCUUUUUUGCAAACAGAUUUAUUUCUCUUUACAGUUUUUCCAAGGUUGUAUGUAUUCCCCUGUGAUUUCUAACCUUUUCUUUUUCUUUUCCCAUGAACAUAAAUCUCACAUACUCCAGGGUAUUCUCCAUGGG
Long non-coding RNA from Triticum aestivum (bread wheat), 1654 nucleotides. RefSeq lists it as uncharacterized. The transcript is spliced from 8 exons. NCBI's taxonomy places the organism in Eukaryota, Viridiplantae, Streptophyta, Magnoliopsida, Poales, Poaceae. The record is from RefSeq and is a predicted model, not a curated record.